ACUCAAUUGCCUUUUUCAUCGGAGUUUUACUAUUGCUGCUACUAUCAUACACUCCAAUUGCAAUACGGAAAAGUAGCGGUACCGGAAAAUGUGUUCCACUAAACAAAAACAGAAGCAGAACCUCCACAAUCAGCGCUCCGUCGUGCCUACCUCUACCUCCGCCUCAGGCGGUGACGGUGGCGGUGGUGGGGACUGGAGGGAAGAAUCCAUAACCGGCGGAUCACUUAAGCAUGUGGAUUUGGACAAGGGCAAAAACGGUUGGGCAUCACCACCGGGAGACCUAUUCAAUCUGCGAGGGCCACACUACUUGACGAAAAAGGCGAAAGUACCUUCUGGCGCGUGGCUUCUACAGCCUGCCGGAGUGGAUUGGCUCCGAUCUAACUCCAAGCUCGACCACGUCCUGGCUCGACACGACAACCGUGUGAUGAACGCGCUGAAGAAAUCUCACUCUGAAGGAAAGUCUCUGAAAACCUUCAUAGUCGCCGUGAAUCUCCAAGUCCCAGGGCGUGACCAACACAGCGCUGUUUUCUACUUCGCUACAAACGACGAUGAGCCGCUCGAACCGGGUUCUCUCCUCUAUCGGUUCGUCAACGGCGAUGAUGCGUAUCGUAACAGCAGAUUUAAGAUCGUUAACCGGAUCGUGAAAGGACCGUG
Molecule: unclassified non-coding RNA, 654 nt
Filed under: Hevea brasiliensis (rubber tree)
Lineage: Eukaryota; Viridiplantae; Streptophyta; Magnoliopsida; Malpighiales; Euphorbiaceae
Source: RNAcentral